AAACGAUUUGUGCUAGACGUGCCCCAUGUUUCACAUAAUAUCCUACAAAAUCUGAUGUGGCAUCAAAAUCAAAAUAUCGCUGAAGAAAUGUCAAAAUAUCGCUGAAGUUUAAAAGGAGAUUUUCUUGUAAUUGUAAAACCUUAAUCCUGCCCAUUUGACCGCGAUUUGCAAUCCCCAACCCCAAGUCUCUUUUCCAAAUUCCCCCAGUGAUCGAGAAAUGGAACGAGAGGAAAAUUCUUCCGACCACACCGGUAACAUUAAUGCCGACGAUGAUAUAAUGGUGAACCCGACAUGGUUAUCUCCAUCUUUUGUGGUGGACCCAAGACCCAUUUAUUAUAGAGAUUAAUAUGAAAUGGAAGGAGGCAACUCCGACGGCGGCAACAUCGAUUCUGGCAAAAACAUGAGUAACAUUUCUUCUUCAUAAUCUUGAUAUCGCUGAUGUGAGCUCAUGUUCUAUAUGAAUUUGUGUUCUUCCCUGAGUUCAGAUGAAUGAUUUCGUAUUAUGGUGCCUUUCCUUACUACCAUAGCAUUUUUCUCAAACUUCUGGCAAAUCUGGUGCAGAUAUGACUUCGAACAACACUUAUAGUUAAACAUUUUUGAGUGAAUUUUAAUCUUACCUAAAAUCUGUUGCUAUAUAUGGUGCUAAAAUGGAACAGUUAGAACAAAAAUCUGCUACUAUAUUUACUUUUAUAUUUAGUUUCUGGGCAAUUAGAACAUAAAUAGAAAAUAGGGACAAGAAUAAGGGUACGGUUGGUUUCAAAGUUUGGAAGUCUAUCCAUUGUGACGUGAUUGACAGUGGCCUUUAAGAGUGGAAAAUGAUAAUUUUUGAACUGUCUAAUUGUUGUGAACACAUUCUAAAUUGGAACAAAAGCUUUGAAAUAUAUGGAGAUGCAAACCCAGCCUACCCCAUCCCUAUUAUCUAAUUGUAGUUUAUGCUAAAUUGACAAGCUGUUGGCUUUAUAUUCUAAUGUCAAUGUUGGCAUGUUUGUGCAAAUACUUGGAAAUGAUUAUUGUUCCUCUUGUCAAAAAUGUAGGUUGGAAUUGAUUAUUGUUCCUCUUGUCAUAAAUGUAGGUAUUUUGGAAAUCCCUUCAUCCGAAGACGACAAUCCGAAUGACAUGAGUUUACGAGAAGGAACUGAUAUUAUUGUGCCUAGUGUUGGAAUGAAGUUCCAAGAUGAGAAUGAGGUGUUCGAAUUUUACAAGAACUACGCGUACCAAGUUGGAUUUCCGGUGAGGAAAAGAAAUUCAAAGAAGGGUGAGGAUGGUGUUGUACGUUAUGUAACUUUUACAUGUAGUCGGGAGGGCCGUCGAACUAGUGGUUCAAAUGCAGUCAUGAAGCCUCAACCAACAAUGUAAAUAGGCUGUAAAGCAAGAUUGACAGCAUGUUCAGAACUUAGUGGCGCAUGGCGUAUUAACACUGUCCAUCUGGAGUAUAAUCACAAGAUAAGCCCAUUGAAAUCAAGGCUAUAUCGCUGCAAUCGAGAAAUCAGUGCACGCGCGAGAAGACGGCUUGAAAUAAAUGACGUAGCUGGUAUACUAUUACAUAAGAGUUUUAACUCGGCCGUAGUUGAAGCCGGUGGUUACGAAAUUAUUACGUGCGUUGAGAAGGAUUGUAGAAAUUUCAUUGACAAAGUCCGACGGUUAAGACUGGGUGAAGGAGAUACUCUUGCAAUACAAGUGUAUUUUACAAGGAUGCAAGCAACCAAUCCUAGAUUCUUCUUUAGCAUAGACUUGGAUGAUGAGGCCCAGUUGAGGAACGUGUUUUGGGCAGAUAACGGGUGUAGGCAAGCGUGUAAGGAAUUCGGUGAUAUAGUUACAUUUGACACCACGUACUUGACCAACAAGUACGAGAUGCCUUUCGCUCCUUUCGUUGGGGUAAACCAUCAUGGACAAUCAACCCUACUUGGAUGUGGUUUGCUAUCAAAUGAAGACGCAAGGACUUUUGUAUAUUCCGAACACGGCUUGAAUUAGUACUCCAGACCAAGUUAGAUAUGAGCAAAUGUGCAAUGCUUUUGCGAAGUUAGCUGACUUGGUAGCACACGACGAGUCACGGUCACGUGGUAUCAUGGAUUGUAUUGAAAUCCAAACAAAUGAUUCAUCGAUGUUGAAGUAUAGCAACGUGGGCUCUCAACGCUUGGAUGAAGCCGAAAAGUGUUCUGGCGGAAUCAUCUUGGACCCGAAAUAAAAAGUAAGGGAGCUCCUAAAAAACUUCGCCGAAAGAGACAUCUAGAAGCUGUUUCCAGAAAAUCGAAAAUCUGUCGUAAGGUAUGAUUUCAAGCAAAAAUAUUUAUUUUGAUAAUCAUUGUACAUAUUGAAUUGAGUAUAUUCUCCAUGACUUACAGAAUUCGACUACAACGAACGGGCAAAAAGACAAAGUUUCAUCAUCAUUCAAUGUUAAGGUAUUUUAGCAUGAGAUUAUAUAACACCAACUUAGCUAACUACCCUUUUGAAAUAUUUGUAAAUGAUAAUUGCAAUUCCAUUUGGUAGGAGGUCGGCACGCAGGAGAGUGUUGGAGAUUUUGAUGUAGUGGUAUAAGGCAUCUAGCAGAUUUUCAAUUGAUUUUGAUGUAGGCGUAUAAGGCAUCUACCAGAUUUUGAUGUGGGUCUGGUGGUGGGGUGGAAAAGAACGAUAUCAAGAUUGUAAUGAAUCUAAUGAUGCAUAUCAUAGCUAUGGGUACUGUUUUGAGAAGGGCUGGUAAUUGUGUUGAGAAGUAGCAAAAAAAAAGGCCCUUUGUUUUGAUAUGUGUUUAUAUAUCAAUAUCUUAUUAGCAUUGUUUUAAUUACUGCUCGAAAUUUGGAUAAGCUCAUUUAUCAGUUUUGUGUAUAUGUUGGAAUGUUCAGCUGUGUUUUGCCUCAAUGCUAAUCCCAAUUCGCACUCUGGGCAA
Molecule: long non-coding RNA, 2884 nt
Filed under: Olea europaea subsp. europaea
Lineage: Eukaryota; Viridiplantae; Streptophyta; Magnoliopsida; Lamiales; Oleaceae
Source: RNAcentral